GAACCACUUCGGUGGGGAUUAGUGGCGAACGGGUGAGUAACACGUGGGCAAUCUGCCCUUCACUCUGGGACAAGCCCUGGAAACGGGGUCUAAUACCGGAUACGACACUCUCGGGCAUCCGAUGAGUGUGGAAAGCUCCGGCGGUGAAGGAUGAGCCCGCGGCCUAUCAGCUUGUUGGUGAGGUAAUGGCUCACCAAGGCGACGACGGGUAGCCGGCCUGAGAGGGCGACCGGCCACACUGGGACUGAGACACGGCCCAGACUCCUACGGGAGGCAGCAGUGGGGAAUAUUGCACAAUGGGCGAAAGCCUGAUGCAGCGACGCCGCGUGAGGGAUGACGGCCUUCGGGUUGUAAACCUCUUUCAGCAGGGAAGAAGCGAAAGUGACGGUACCUGCAGAAGAAGCGCCGGCUAACUACGUG
Molecule: ribosomal RNA, 420 nt
Filed under: bacterium S8A-217_16S
Lineage: Bacteria
Description: bacterial SSU rRNA
Rfam family: Bacterial small subunit ribosomal RNA
Source: RNAcentral